Quercus robur (English oak) is the source of this 2342-nucleotide RNA transcript. It is a transcript of the gene named light-mediated development protein DET1, with no coding region annotated. NCBI's taxonomy places the organism in Eukaryota, Viridiplantae, Streptophyta, Magnoliopsida, Fagales, Fagaceae. The record is from RefSeq and is a predicted model, not a curated record. The transcript has 14 exons.
GUUUAGAUUUUUAGAAGAAGAAGAGAAGGGAAGGGCUCUAACAGUCCCACGUCACCCGCUAACUCACUUGCUCGGCAAGCCUUCUGUGGCUUUCUCUCUCUCGUGCUUUGUAAAGUUCUCUCCUGCUGCUUCUGCUCAAUUAUCAAACGCUUCCUCUCUCGCUGCCUCCCACGGAUGGCAGCACCAAUCAACAACUUCUCUUUUGCACUCCAAAAACCAUUUGGGGGGAUAUCGAUUGAGUUUGGGCAUCAGUAGUAAUGUUUAGAAGUAACAACAUCGUUGCAAGGAUUUUUCAGCGACAAAUCUGCACUCCUGCUCCCGGAACUAGUGUUCAUUGCGCUAGAAGAUUUUAUGAGAAUUUAGUUCCAAGUUUUACCAUAUAUGAUGUUGAAUGCCCAGACCAUUCAUUUCGAAAAUUUACAGAUGAUGGUCAAUACCUUAUAAGUUUCAGCAGAAAUAAUCAGGAUCUGAUUGUUUACAGGCCAACCUGGCUUUCAUUUUCAUGCAAAGAAGAAGAUUGUGAUGCUCAUGAUCUACCUUCAAAAGCAAGGAGAUUUGAAAGCUUCUUUACACAGUUAUAUAGUGUAUCACUUGCCUCCUGCAAUGAACUUAUAUGCAAAGAUUUCUUCCUUUACAUGGAUAGUAACCAAUAUGGAAUAUUUGCUACUUCUACUGUACCAAGCCAAGAUGCACCUGCUACUGGAGGAGCUAUUCCAGGAUUCCCGUCAAUAGAAAAGAUGACCUUUCAUCUAUUGAGAUUGGAAGAUGGAGUUAUACUAGAUGAGAAAGUCUUCCACAAUGAUUUUGUUAAUCUGCCUCAUAACAUGGGUGUCUUCUUGUAUGAUGAUCUAUUGGCUAUUGUGUCACUUCGCUAUCAAACAGUACACAUUCUCCAAAUUAGGGACUCUGGGAACCUUGUGAACGUACGAGCUAUUGGGGCAUAUUGUCAUGAAGAUGAUGAACUUUUUCUCAAUUCAAAUGCUCAGUGCAUGGCAUUUCCUGACAAAAGUAAAAUGCAUCAGUUACCUCAGAAUCAUGUUCAGAAUGGGUUACAUCACAGCCAGCCUAAUCUAGAAGAGCCUUUUCUGAGUGGCAUCAAACAACGCUUGCUUUCAUUCAUAUUCCGCAGAAUAUGGAAUGAAGAAAAAGAUCGGACCUUGAGGGUCCAGUGCUUGAAGAAGAAAUUUUAUUUCCACUUUCAAGAUUAUGUAGACUUGAUUAUAUGGAAGGUACAAUUCUUGGACCGGCACCACCUGCUAAUCAAAUUUGGUAGUGUAGAGGGAGUGGUAUCACGAAAUGCCGAUCAGCACCCUGCUUUUUUCGCUGUAUAUAACAUGGAGACCACUGAAAUUGUUGCAUUUUAUCAGAAUUCUGCAGAGGACCUAUAUCAUUUGUUUGAGCAGUAUUGCGACCACUUCCACUCAACAUCAAGAAAUUCUUUGUAUAUGAAUUUCAUAUCAUCUCACUCAAAUAAUAUUCAUGCUCUGGAGCAACUAAGAUCCAUAAAAAAUAAAGCAACCAGCUCUUCACAGUUUGUAAAGAAGAUGCUGGGCUCUUUACCUUUCAGUUGUCAGUCGCAGAGUCCUUCUCCCUAUUUUGACCAAUCCCUCUUUCGGUUUGAUGAAAAGCUGAUAUCUGCAACCGACCGGCAUAGACCGUCAACAGACCAUCCCAUCAAGUUCAUUUUAAGAAGACCCCCAUGUUCCCUCAAAUUUAAGAUCAAACUAGGUCCCGAAGCUGGUAGCGCGGAUGGUCGGACAAAAAAGAUUUCUUCAUUCCUGUUCCAUCCAUUUUUACCCCUUGCUCUCUCUUUUCAGUAUACUUCGUCCUCACAGCCAUCAGUUGUGAAUAUUCAUUUCCGAAGAUGAAGAUUCUAUAAAUCUCGUUGGCUGAUUGCUCCAAGUUGUGACAACAACCUUGAAUGAGAUUCUACUCUAGGUCAACAAAUAAAGUCCCAAGCCCAGUAGAGAAAGUCCAAAAAGAGCAAGGAAAAAAGGUCAUGAAGUGCCUAUCCGGCCAACGUCCUGACCGAGUCGGCUAAGUAACCAAAGAAAAGGUCUCACUGUAGAAUACCUUAGGAUGAGGUUAUUGUCUUUGAAUACACGGCAGCUUUCCGGCAAUGGUGCCAAAAUUGCUUGCUCAAGUGUAAGAAAUUGUAGCAAUAUAAUUCUUAGAAUACCUAGGUCGAACCACAAGGAAUAAGGUGAUUCAAAGACAAUGUAAUCAAACAAAAGUUGGAUGUAGAAAAAGAGUAAUUUUUCUUUGUGAUUGUAAACAAGAAUAAUAAUAAUAACUUAUUUAAAUCAGUAAUAUAAAUACAAGGACAUUGAGGUGUUUCCCUA